AGCAGCCGCGGUAAUUCCAGCUCCAAUAGCGUAUAUUAAAGUUGUUGCAGUUAAAAAGCUCGUAGUUGAAUUUCGGGAUCAAUAUAUUGGUCGUGCCUCUGGUAUGAACUGGUAUUAUUGAUUUCUACCUUCUGACGAACUGUGAUGUCAUUAAUUUGGUGUCAUGGGGAAUCAGGACUGUUACUUUGAAAAAAUUAGAGUGUUUAAAGCAGGCACACGCUUGAAUACAUUAGCAUGGAAUAAUGAAAUAGGACGUUUGACCCUAUUUUGUUGGUUUCUAGGAUCGACGUAAUGAUUAAUAGGGAUAGUUGGG
Molecule: ribosomal RNA, 313 nt
Filed under: uncultured Glomus
Lineage: Eukaryota; Fungi; Glomeromycota; Glomeromycetes; Glomerales; Glomeraceae
Description: SSU rRNA
Rfam family: Eukaryotic small subunit ribosomal RNA
Source: RNAcentral